RNAcentral lists this long non-coding RNA (3118 nucleotides) under Anolis carolinensis (green anole). Its description in RNAcentral is "lncRNA (ENSACAG00000038810.1)". Lineage: Eukaryota; Metazoa; Chordata; Lepidosauria; Squamata; Anolidae. The record is from RNAcentral.
AUGCCAGGAGGGAGGCUGCUGUGGACCAGGGAGGGAGACUGGGAGGAAGGGAGGCGUUGCCCCGCCGAAAUAAGCAAAAGGAAGCCUCCAAACUGUAAAUCCACAAAAGGGAAUUCGGGGAAAGCGGCGUCCGAAACCCUGGCUGAAGUUGGGCGGCGAAGAAGAGUGCAAAGGAGGCGCCCCAGCAGCCUCGCCAAGACCGGGGGGGGGGGGGGUCCUUAUCCCACCCGAGGUCCACGAAGCGGGGGUGGGAUAAGAAUGCGGCUCCUUCCCGCUCGGCCCGGGCUCUCUCUCGGUCAGGCGAAAGGCUCUCCGCGCCCUCGUCGCCCCCAGAACGAAGGAGUCCUCUCAGGCAGCGCGCGGGAGUGGAGACCCGCCGGCGAAGGAGGAGGAAGAGGGGGAGGCGGCGGCAGCCCGGGUCCCAUCACCGGAGGCGGCGCGGAGCCGCUUCCCAUCCCCGGCCGCCGGCAUCGCCUUCCUUGCCGGCCUGCGUCCCUCCCUCUCUCCCCAAACCGGAACGGACACAAAAGCCACGGAGCCUCCCUGUGCCUCUCGGUGCGUCUCUGUGAAGGAGGAGGGAGUGUGCGGGCAAAACUUCCAGCCGCCUCCUCCUCCUCCUCCUCUUUCUCCUCCGCAAGGCAGGCAGCCCCUGGUGGACGAAGAGCGCCACUGCCCUUCGCUCGCCGCCUGGGGAGACUGGAGGGGAAGCGCCGGGCGCUGAAGUUGGCGGGCCACGCGGAGGUUGAGUGUCUUCUUCUUCUCCUUCUUCCCCUCCUCCACCUCCUCCCUCUUCGCCUCUUCCUUCUUUUCCUUCUUUCUUCUUCCUUCUUCCUCUUCUUGCCCCCUCCAAGAGACGCCUCCGAGAAGCCCACUCUUCCCCUCUGCACAUUUCACAAAGCAGUCCCAGAGUUGCAAACAUCCGACUGACAAAUGAUUCUGGGUUAAGAACAGGGCUGAGACCAUAGGAAGUGAGAGAAAUCUACCCCUCUGGAAAGGGAAUCCACUCCUGGAAGACUUAUCAGUGGGGAAAGGUAUCUUCACUGAAGAUUUAUUUGUUUUGUUACUAUAUUUAUACUGAGCUCUGUGAGUGCAGCAUUCUUUCAAAAUGAAGCAGAGAGUGUUUGAGAAGGUCCUGUCUCUCCUCCCCACUAGUUACACUUGCGAAGGGGAUGAAACCAAAAGCAGGCUCUCCCCAGCAGAUCUUAAAACUAUAGUGGGCUCAUAAAGGGAGAUACCUUCAGACAUAUAAGUUGGGCCAGAACCGUUUAGGGUUCUCAACUUGUGGGUCCCCAGAUGUUUUGGCCUUCAACUCCCAGAAAUCCUUACAGAAAUCCAGGUCAGACCACACCUGGAAUACUGUGUCCAAUUUUGGGCACCACAGUUGAAGGGAGAUGUUGACAAGCUGGAGAGCGUCCAGAGGAGGGCAACUAAAAUGAUCAAAGGUCUGGAGAACAAGCCCUAUUGGGAGAGGCUUAAAGAACUGGGCAUGUUUAGCCUGCAGAAGAGAAGGCUGAGAGGAGACAUGAUAGCCAUGUACAAAUAUGUGAGGGGAAGCCAUAGGGAGGAGGGAGCAAGCUUGUUUUCUGCUGCCCUGCAGACUAGGACACGGAACAAUGGCUUCAAACUACAGGAAAGGAGAUUCCACCUGAACAUCAGGAAGAACUUCCUCACUGUGAGGGCUGUUCGGCAGUGGAACUCUCUCCCCCAGACUGUGGUGGAGGCUCCUUCUUUGGAGGCUUUUAAACAGAGGCUGGAUGGCCAUCUGUCGGGGGUGCUUUGAAUGCGAUUUCCUGCUUCUUGGCAGGGGGUUGGACUAGAUGGCCCAUGAGGUCUCUUCCAACUCUACUAUUCUAUGAUUCUAUGAUUCUAUGAGCUGGUAAACUGGCUGGGAUUUCUUGGAGUUGUAGGCAAAAACACCUGGGGACCCACAGGUUGAGAACCACUGGUUUAGGACUGUAUACACCAAAGCCAGCACUUUGAAUUGGGCCCGGUAGCAAACUGGCAGCCAGUGGAGCUGACAUAACAGGGAGGUUGUAUGGUCCCUGUAUGCCGUUCCAGUAAAAAAAUCUGGCUGCUGCCCGUUGGACUACUUGGAGCUUCCGGACAGUUUUCAGAGGCACCAAUUUGUUUCCACAACAAGCCAAGUUUUCCAAAAUCUAAUUCCCACAGGGACACGAAGUUAAGCAAAGGGACAGAAAGUAAAGUGAAAUCUGAAUGGGCACAGAUGACAAAACAAACACCUUCCCAAUGCUGUUCAAAGCUUGCUUGGACAUUUUUAAAAAUGUACCCUUUCUGACUUACAUACAAAUUCAAUUUGUGAACAAACUUACAGAACCUAUCUUGUUUGUAACUUGGGGACUGCCUGUAUUGGACUCCAGCACCACCUUUAUAGAAAGCCACCCUGUGCAACUGAAUAACAAAAUGACGUUAUCACACCAGGGCUUUCAAGUGGGCAGCCCCACAUUUCUGCCGCUUCCAAUUCUGGGAAAUGUGGUUCAGGGCAGAGCCUUUUGAAUUCUAAGCUACAAAGGUCCUCACCUUUGCAUACUACAUUUCCCAGAAUUCGGCAGGCAGCAGAAAUGCAGGGCUGCCUGCUUUAAAGCCUUGGUGUGCUAACAUGAAAAGAAGAUGGGAGCAAAGUAAAUGGGAUAUCAAGGGUGGUAGCCAGGGGAGAACCUUCUAAAAAACAGAGCCCUUCCUCGGUGGUGAAAAUGGAACUUCCUACCAGAGAACUUUAAAAAAAAACCUACAAAAGUACUGAAAAGACUAAUUUUGAGGAGGGGAAGUAAAAAAUAGGAUGUUUUCUACAGGCAGGAAAGUUUAAAGAGUCAACCAAAAGGAAGGGAACAGUGCAACCACAAAUAAGCCUCUCUUGUAUAAACUCCAGAGCACAGCUUACAGAAAUUACCUUUAAAAACCAUAUAAUUAUAAUGACAUUCAUAGCUGAGCAGCAAUAAAGACAAUUUUUAGUUCCAACCAAGCAAUGAGAUAUCCACAGAGUUGCCAUCCAAAAGUGUAAUAAAGCAACCACAAACAAGCAUAGCUUACAUAAACUCCAGAUCACAGCUCUGAGGAAUUAAAUAACAAUAUAAUUAUAAUCACAUUCAUAACUGAGUAG